UCCCCAGUGGCUCAGCAGAAGAGAAUCUGCCUGCAAUACAGGAGAUGCAGGUUCAAUCCCUGCAUCAGGAA
Molecule: transfer RNA, 71 nt
Filed under: Bos taurus (domestic cattle)
Lineage: Eukaryota; Metazoa; Chordata; Mammalia; Artiodactyla; Bovidae
Also listed under: 4 other names
Rfam family: tRNA
About the family: Transfer RNA (tRNA) molecules are approximately 80 nucleotides in length. Their secondary structure includes four short double-helical elements and three loops (D, anti-codon, and T loops). Further hydrogen bonds mediate the characteristic L-shaped molecular structure. tRNAs have two regions of fundamental functional importance: the anti-codon, which is responsible for specific mRNA codon recognition, and the 3' end, to which the tRNAs corresponding amino acid is attached (by aminoacyl-tRNA synthetases). tRNAs cope with the degeneracy of the genetic code in two manners: having more than one tRNA (with a specific anti-codon) for a particular amino acid; and 'wobble' base-pairing, i.e. permitting non-standard base-pairing at the 3rd anti-codon position.
Source: Rfam by way of RNAcentral